This 381-nucleotide ribosomal RNA is filed under the name uncultured marine Chaetocerotaceae. RNAcentral describes it as "SSU rRNA". It matches the Rfam family "Eukaryotic small subunit ribosomal RNA", at positions 587 to 972 of the family's 1831-position model. Lineage: Eukaryota; Bacillariophyta; Thalassiosirophyceae; Chaetocerotales; Chaetocerotaceae. The record is from RNAcentral.
AGCUCCAAUAGCGUAUAUUAAAGUUGCUGCAGUUAAAAAGCUCGUAGUUGCAUUUCCGAGGCAAGGGAUUAGUCCGACCUUUGGUGGGUAUUUAAUCCUCUUGCCUCGUCCUUGAGUGGUGCUUCUUGGUAUUAAGUUAUCGAGGAGAUAGCCGCUCAUCGUUUACUGUGAGAAAAUUAGAGUGUUCAAAGCAGGCUUAUGCCGUUGAAUAUAUUAGCAUGGAAUAAUAAGAUAGGACCUCGGUACUAUUUGGUUGGUUUGAGAACCAAGGUAAUGAUGAAUAGGGACAGUUGGGGGUAUUCGUAUUCAGGUGUCAGAGGUGAAAUUCUUAGAUUUACGGAAGACGAACUACUGCGAAAGCAUUUACCAAGGAUGUUUUCA